Molecule: non-coding RNA, 859 nt
Organism: Paramuricea clavata
Lineage: Eukaryota; Metazoa; Cnidaria; Anthozoa; Malacalcyonacea; Plexauridae
Source: the annotation of a GenBank genome assembly
GUUUGAAAUUGCCACUGAACUUGAAGAUCAUGUGAGUAUGCAUGACAAUGUGCCGCCCCACUAGCAAGGCAAGAUAAAUUGAAAAUAUCUUGCAUAACAUUAGGCUGAUGUGAUAUGGAAAAAAUCAAUAUAUCGAUAUUGAACAAAAAUAUCGACUAUAUCGAAUUAUGAAAUUAGAAAAUGUAGUUCAGUUAGUUGAGUGCACUGUUCUUGAAGUAAGUCCAAACAGGGCUUUGAAUUGUUGAUUUGGCAUAUUUAUUGUCUAGACUUUCCAGUGAGUCUAGACAGUGAAUUAGAGAAGGAGCUGUGAUGUUUUGAUUCCAUGUUUACGAGUCAUCACACAGUUAUUGUUUUCAAAAACUAUCGCUUGUGUUGUGGAUGGUGAUCUUCUGUGAUCACUCUUACUCUGUUUGCACUUUUGAAUUGCCAACUCUCAAUUGCUGUCACAUAUGCGUUUUCUCAACUUUACAGAAGAGGUUUCAGUUUUAAAUGGUUCCAUAUUGUCGAUAUGCGAAAAAUGGAUAAUAUUUUCAAAUAUUAAUAUUUUUGAAAUAUCGAUAUUUAUCAAAAAUAUUGAUAUAUCGCAUCAACCUAUAGCUAUUGUGUUGUGAUGAAACCUCUCUUGAAAUUUAUUUGAAGCUGUUUUGAAAUAGUUUGAGAUUGUUUGAAAUUGGUUGAAUUGUUUAGAGAUUAUUUUGACAUAGCAACGCAAUGAGGCAAUGUAACUGUUUAAUAUGAUUGAAAGGUGAUAUUGAUAAUUGACUGUAAUGCAUUUUGAACAAAUGUCAUUUUGUACAUAUCUAGGGUUUUUUUGUUAGAAGUUUGUUAAAAUAGUGGAUUCUUAGUAUAAUAAGAUUUG